This is a long non-coding RNA of Herpailurus yagouaroundi (jaguarundi), 1810 nucleotides long. RefSeq lists it as uncharacterized. The record is from RefSeq and is a predicted model, not a curated record. The transcript has 3 exons. Lineage: Eukaryota; Metazoa; Chordata; Mammalia; Carnivora; Felidae.
AAAACGAUACGGCCAAGAAGCCAAGCAAGAAAGUCAAACCAGUCUCUGUUGGAAAAGCGCAAUCUCCUAAGAGAAACGGAGAGUUCUUAAGCGUUUCGGUUUUGGAAAGGACCCUCAGAUUUCUCCAUCGCAGCAGAGCCUGGAAUUAGCCCUGGAGGAACAGAGAUGAUACAUAAUGCGAUAUGCUCCCAUUGGGGCCUGGAAUCUGAUUGCAACAUCCAGAAAUAUCUGCGUGAUCGAUUGGAGUGACUGGAUUCAACAGAGCAACAGCAGUCGGGUCCCCACCGUCUCCUAUCGGCUGACCUACACAACUGCCGAUCCGGAGUCUCCGAGGAACCAAAGUGUCCCGGUCCCUCUCUCCUACACCCUUCUAGAGCACCCCCCAUGCUUGAAGGAAACACUUCACUUGGAUUUGCUUCUGAGCGAAACGCAGGCAGGAGCCAGGGGGAUACCGAAAGCUCUGCGAAGCAAAUGACGAAUGUUGGGGUCCCUCGCCAAACCUACAUCAGAGUCCUUUCAACUCUGAACCUGGUAAAAGGAUUAGCCCUCUGCCGUCCACAAGGGCGCGUGAAAGCCGGUCUGUCUGUUAAAAGACUCUUGCGUGCACACCCCAGUCCGGGCAUCAAACCCUCCCUGCCCUUUGAUAAAGCCAGACCUCCUUCUAUGGAUGUGCGGCCAGGGAAUAACGAACACCUGCUAAGAGAAUAAGAGACGCUGGGGGCGGGGGCGGGCAGCGAGGCUAGACAGGACCACUUUCCAUUGUACAUCAUCCGUACGGCUGGUAGAGAAUGAAUUAUUUCUUCCCAAUUCGGCGCCAUCAUCCAUCACCGUCAAUUUGCGGCCCAUCUGGAAGGUUUCAGAAGCCCCGGAAUGGGCUCAAGAGUUAUAAAACAGCCACGGCGGCAAGCCUUUCUAAACGGAUUACAGUAAAUACAAACACGAAGAAACAGGGUGCGUGUUUCGGGGCGUUUACGCUGUUCCACGUCCCGGGCUCGAGCUCCCUCAUUUCAUCCCCUCAACGAACCUACGAGGCGGGAACAAGAACCGUUCCCAUUGUGCAGAUGAGAAAACCGAGGCCCACGGAGGUCCACGCCGUUCUCUGGUCACCCAGGUAGGAGGUGGCACAGCUGGGGCACGGGGCUGGGUGGUACGGACCCGGGACACUGUGUCCUGCUCAUGAUGUGAAAGCGAUGGGCUCAGGAGGCCCUAACUUCCCUGUCUACGCUCUCUCGGCCUGAAUCCUACCUCGUUCAGUCACUCCCUUGGGACCCUCCGUCUUAAGCUUUAUUCUUACAGCUGAGCCUAGAAGGGGCGGGGAAGAUGCACGAGAGACUCGAGGACCAAAGAAAUCGCGUGUUUUCUGUGUGUUGAAUUCAGUUCUCCCCAGUUGCCGGCAAAGGGGACCCACUGGAGAGCGUCCAUAUUAGCACAGAAGGCCCAGAAGAAACGGCACAGAGCUCUUGGCCUGGGUUAACUGACCGGGACCUGCUGGAGGGAACGUGCUCAUUCUACAAACAGCCAUCAGUGCCCCCUCGAGCCUGGUCACGUGGGAGGGAGCGACAGCACACACAGGGACACAGUCCCUGCCUUCCCGGAGCUGCGUGCUACUGGAGGCAUGGCUCGAAGAACAAUGUGAUGAGCGUAAUCAAGGCGACGUACGGAAUGCCACCCACCGAGCACAGAAAGAGGGAAUCGGAGCAGAUCUCGAAGAAGGAAGAGUCACCGAAAACCAACACGACAGUGGCUUCAACAAGGUAGGAGUUUAUUUCUCUAGCAUCUAACAGAAGUCGGAAGGUAACAGUUCAAAGCU